AAGUCGUAACAAGGUUUCCGUAGGUGAACCUGCGGAAGGAUCAUUACUUGGCCUUGGGCCGCUCACGGGAGACCGUCGCUUGCGGCGGCGCUCUCGAGGGUGCUUAGCCCUUGAUCACUACCUUGACUAUGCGCACCUUUGUUGUUCCCUCGGCAGGACGCUUCGCGUUCUGCCGCAAGGAACCCCUUAAACCUUUUGCAAUCAGCAUUAAUCUUCUGAAACAAACCUAAUUAUUUACAACUUUUAACAAUGGAUCUCUUGGUUCUG
This 267-nucleotide unclassified non-coding RNA is filed under the name fungal sp. Its description in RNAcentral is "partial internal transcribed spacer region". The stretch from base 1 to 46 matches the Rfam family "Eukaryotic small subunit ribosomal RNA", at positions 1786 to 1831 of the family's 1831-position model. Lineage: Eukaryota; Fungi. The record is from RNAcentral.